RNAcentral lists this long non-coding RNA (201 nucleotides) under Elaeis guineensis (African oil palm). RNAcentral describes it as "long non-coding RNA (EGUI_LNC023310)". The record is from RNAcentral. Lineage: Eukaryota; Viridiplantae; Streptophyta; Magnoliopsida; Arecales; Arecaceae.
GUUGGCGAGGAACUUGGAGCGGCUUCAGCUAGCUCAGACCCUCUGACGGACUACGGAGGCAUCAACGACAAUGAAACUUCAACGGUGGCCAAUGCAAGCAUCUCCUCAACUGCUUGCCCAGAAGAACAUGACUGCUUUUCAGCUAUCGUGGGUUCAGAAGGCAGAUCGUCAUUGGCCUCUUCCUCAUCCAAGAAUAAGAGG